RNAcentral lists this ribosomal RNA (338 nucleotides) under Magnetococcales bacterium. Its description in RNAcentral is "bacterial SSU rRNA". It matches the Rfam family "Bacterial small subunit ribosomal RNA", at positions 1 to 352 of the family's 1533-position model. Lineage: Bacteria; Pseudomonadati; Pseudomonadota; Magnetococcia; Magnetococcales. The record is from RNAcentral.
CUUUUGGAGAGUUUGAUCCUGGCUCAGAACGAACGCUGGCGGUACGCCUAACACAUGCAAGUCGAACGGUAACAGGGACUUCGGUCCGCUGACGAGUGGCGAACGGGUGAGUAACGCGUGGAUAAUAUGCCCAGAGGUGGGGGAUAACGGUUGGAAACAGCCGCUAAUACCGCAUAAUCCCUAAGGGGGAAAGAUGCAAAUCGCCUUUGGAGUAGUCCGCGUCGGAUUAGCUAGUUGGUGGGGUAAAGGCCUACCAAGGCAACGAUCCGUAGCUGGUCUUAGAGGAUGAUCAGCCACACUGGGACUGAGACACGGCCCAGACUCCUACGGGAGGCAGC